Molecule: long non-coding RNA, 255 nt
Filed under: Pan troglodytes (chimpanzee)
Lineage: Eukaryota; Metazoa; Chordata; Mammalia; Primates; Hominidae
Description: long non-coding RNA NONPTRT003648
Source: RNAcentral
CGGGAACACAAGAAGCUGGACCUGCACAGAGACUUUACCGUGGCUUCUCCCGCUGAGUUUGUCACACGCUUUGGGGGGGAUCGGGUCAUCGAGAAGGUGCUUAUUGCCAACAACGGGAUCGCCGCCGUGAAGUGCAUGCGCUCCAUCCGCAGGUGGGCCUAUGAGAUGUUCCGCAACGAGCGGGCCAUCCGGUUUGUUGUGAUGGUGACCCCCGAGGACCUUAAGGCCAACGCAGGUACCUGGGCCUUGACCCUC